This is a long non-coding RNA of Helicoverpa zea (corn earworm), 312 nucleotides long. RefSeq lists it as uncharacterized. Lineage: Eukaryota; Metazoa; Arthropoda; Insecta; Lepidoptera; Noctuidae. The transcript is spliced from 2 exons. The record is from RefSeq and is a predicted model, not a curated record.
UCGUAGAGAAGUAGCAAAGCAUCUCUAUCAACAUGAAACUGUUCGGCUUAGUAGUUCUUGCUCUGGCGGUGUUCGCUAUGCUGAUGGGCGGCGUGAGCGCAAGCCCUAAGGGAGGCGGCAGUGCGCUCAGGACCGGAGCUAAGGUUGCUAAAGGCGGACUUGGAGCCGGGGCCGCCGCCGCGACCGCUCGCGAACUCUACGAAAAAUUUAAGAACAGGAAAGGUUGAUUCUUAACUUUUAAAUAAACUCUUUAUUUACAUAUUUUAUUUUGUAAAUGUAUUAAAUUGUUAAUAAACAAUCAAUAAAAUCGAA